GAUGAAGAACGCAGCGAAAUGCGAUAAGUAAUGCGAAUUGCAGAAUUCCGUGAGUCAUCGAAUCUUUGAACGCACAUUGCGCCCCUCGGUAUUCCGAGGGGCAUGCCUGUUCGAGCGUCAUUAUAACCCUUCAAGCUCAGCUUGGUGUUGGGGCCUGCUGUAACUGGUAGCCCUUAAAAUCAGUGGCAGUGCUAUUAGGCUCUAAGCGUAGUAAUUCUUCUCGCUAUAGUGUGUAGUGAGCGCUUGCCAGAACCCCAAACUUUUAUAUGAUUGACCUCGGAUCAGGUAGGGAUACCCGCUGAACUUAAGCAUAUCAAUAAGCGGAGGA
This 328-nucleotide unclassified non-coding RNA is filed under the name soil metagenome. RNAcentral describes it as "partial contains 5.8S ribosomal RNA, internal transcribed spacer 2, and large subunit ribosomal RNA". The stretch from base 1 to 120 matches the Rfam family "5.8S ribosomal RNA", at positions 35 to 154 of the family's 154-position model. The record is from RNAcentral.